RNAcentral lists this long non-coding RNA (324 nucleotides) under Phasianus colchicus (ring-necked pheasant). RNAcentral describes it as "lncRNA (ENSPCLG00000011412.1)". The record is from RNAcentral. Lineage: Eukaryota; Metazoa; Chordata; Aves; Galliformes; Phasianidae.
AUACACAGGUCAAGUUUCCAUCUGGAUUUAAGAUCUGGCUUGUACAGCUUCCCUGUCUUCUCAGGGUUGAAAACUGCAGACUACUAGCUCUGUGGUGGUACCUCAAGUCUCAUCUGUACAUACAAAAUUAGGAAACCUGUGGUUUCAAAAAUCAAGAGUAACAGGACAAAUGCCAAAUAUAUAGGAUUUAUUAAAAUCUAAGGUUUUAAUGACAGUUAUCGGACACUGGUCCUUAGUGGCUGCAGCCUUCACAUGCCCUCUGGAGCUUGUCACCAUAUGUAUCUGGAGAGAUUCUAAAGCUGCAAUUAGCAAGUCACCUUGCUU